Molecule: ribosomal RNA, 253 nt
Filed under: uncultured bacterium
Lineage: Bacteria
Description: partial 16S ribosomal RNA
Rfam family: Bacterial small subunit ribosomal RNA
Source: RNAcentral
UACGAAGGGGGCUAGCGGUGUAUGGAGUUACGGGGCGGUAAGCGCGUGUCGGCGGGUCGUUAAGUCGGGGGUGAAAGCCCAGAGCUCAACUCUGGAAUUGCCUUCGAUACUGGCGGUCUGGAGCAGAGAAGAGGCGAGUGGAAAUCCGAGUGUAGAGGUGAAAUUCGUAGAUAUUGGGAGGAACACCAGUGGCGAAGGCGGCUCGCUGGUCUCUUGCUGACGCUGAGACGCGAAAGCGUGGGGAGCAAACAGG